RNAcentral lists this long non-coding RNA (2873 nucleotides) under Sus scrofa (pig). RNAcentral's name for it is "lncRNA (ENSSSCG00050041410.1)". Lineage: Eukaryota; Metazoa; Chordata; Mammalia; Artiodactyla; Suidae. The record is from RNAcentral.
AUAAUAACACAUUUAAUUCUUUAUACUAGUGUAUAAAGAAUAAUACAAAAGCUAGCCAAGUCUAAGAACAAGCCAUGGAAAGUCCCAGAAGAUGAGAGAACUCAGAAAGCAUCUUGAGAAGGUAAAUCUCCAGAGCACAGAGCCACCUACCUGACAUCAAGGAGGCCCAGUAACUGACAAACACUCAUUUGCAUUCAUUCCCAUAUCCUGAUCUGAGAUCCCAACCUCCGGAUUCACGAAACGAAAAGAAAAUAAUUAGCACAAUCUACUGCAGUUGUGUUUGAGAUUAAUAUGCUGCCUGGAACCUGCAUAGGAAAAUGUAAUUGCAUUUGAAACCACAACGUGAAAGAAAGGGAUUGAAGCCAGACACCCCAAGUGUGGGAAGAGAAGCUCGAUCUCCAGGACCAACCAGAGGUGGAGGGGGUCAGCAGGUGCAUGGGGUUCCUGGGGGAGAUUUCCACCAAGCGAAGGUUAAUAAGGGUGGGCAGGGGGCCUGGUGGACAGAUUGCUCUGGAAGCCCUUCUAAGCUCACAGGAGCUGGGGCAGGCGGGGAGAGGGGACCAGAGACCAUGCCCAUGCCCACAAGAGGGACUUCAGUUCUGUGCAAAUGAAAUCAGGGCAACAAAAUGGGUUGAAAUUGCAUUUCUCAUCAUGUAUUGUUCAUCCUCCUGUCCUCAUGAGAUGCCUUAGGAACAGAGGGCUUCAGGGUCAAAUCACUUUGGGAAGAAACAUAUGGAAGUCACAGGGCUCAUCAGCCUGGCGAAGGAAGACUCCGAAAGAAACCAAAGUCUGGUCUUAUUCAUCCAAGACCGCCAGUUCCACCAUGUUGACCACAGAGCCUGUCGCUUUUUAUGGCUACUCACCUCCUGGGGCAUCGCCUUGAGCAGAACUCCUGGGCGGGUGCUCCUGGAUUAAACCAGGGACAAGGAGGCCCCUGUAGAGGAAGGGUAGCUUGUUUAAAGGGUGAGAUGGUCACAUACAGCCCUCACAAGGCUCCAUCUAACUCCCUCCCUUCCUGGGGCAAGAACACGUCCAAGAUGCUGGGGUUCAUUCAUUCAGGUACUAAUCCACCCCUUAGUAUCUGUUCCAGGUGUCAGGCACUGUUCUAAGCACUGGCUAUGUCUGGGCACGAAACAGACCAAAGUCCCCACCAUGGAGGGACUUCAGUUCUGGGGCAGACACUGGUCCUCUCUUCCUUCCACAGCCCUGGAGUGCUUGGGGACCCACCCCAUCCUUGUGGCCAUCGCUGGUGGGGCCAUGAAGGGACACCUGAUCUAGGACAAUUAUUCAGAAGCCAAGUGGGGCCAAUCAGCUUCAGGACAUAGACCUUGAAGCUGGGCAGCCCAGGUUCAAACCCCAACCUGCCCACUCAUGAGCUGAGCGAUCCUGGCAAGUUGCUCCAUCACUCUGAGCUUCUAUUCCUUUCCUUUCACAUUUUUUUUAAUACUAAAAAACCUUGUUUGGUAGGGUUAUUUUGAGAAUUAAAUCAGAAGGCCCACAUGAAGCCCUUAGACCAGGGCCCAGCACACAAUUGGGAUGCGUGUGUUUGCAGUUGGGUAUUUGCUGGUGGUGACAAUCAUUCUUGCUCCCAGGUAUGAAGAAACAGGUUCAUGGGCUGGGCCUGGGGGUCCCGUUAAGUUUGAAAACAAAGGCUGCCCUCUGGGGAUCUGAAGAAUGGUCAGGGAGGAGGGGCUGACCUGCAAAGAAUCAGAAAAAAACAGAGCAGAAGGGCUGAGAGAGGUGGACCCCAAUGCAGGGAGACGGCGGGCAUCUGGUGUCUGACAGUUUGCCUUGAGCUUGGUGGCCCCCUGGUCCUCAUGUCCCCUGUUGUUUCCCAGCUUCCUACUAAUUCCAGUUACCUUGAUGGGGUUUUCUCUUCCUAAGAAACAAGCCACCCCUGACCAAGGCGCGGUGUCGGCAAACCCAAGCAGAAGAAAAGCUGUUCGUGGAGUUCCUGUUGUGGCUCAGUGGUAUAAUGAACCCAACUAGUAUCCAUGAGGAUGCGGGUUUGAUCCCUGGCCUUGCUCAGUGGGUUAAGGAUCCAGUGUUGCCGUGAGUGGUGGUGUAGGUCGCAGACAAGGCUCAGAUCCCGCAUUGCUGUGGCUCUGGUGGAGGCUGGCAGCUGUAACUCCGAUUUGACCCCUAGCCUGGGAACUUCCAGCUGAGCAAAGGACCCAAGUUCCAGCUAAGUGGGAACCACUGAUCAAGGGUGUACAGUGGGGAGUAGGUUAAAAGCUUGGGUAUAGAGGUUGGGAGAAGGCCAAGGUCAAAGUGGCCUGCAAGGGCUGGUUGACAGCUGCCAGGAGGGCCAGGAGGAGGCAAGCCCUGACUUCAGAUCCCAAACCAUCCUUGAUGGGAAACUGAGUCCAGGGAAGCAAGUGUCCCUGACCCUCAAGCCUGUGUCUCCAGUAGACCCUGGAAUUCAGGCUCCAGACUUUGUUUUGGUGCCAAGGCCUGGAGCACACUUGUCCUGCUGAAAAGCAGAAGAGCGUUCAUCUUCUCUCUCUCUCUCAUUCUCUUUCCUCUAUGUGUGUACAUAUAAACACACACAGAUGUAAAAAUAGGAUUCUAGUAUAUAUCCAGUUUUUGUCACCCACCUUUUUUUCUCCUUAAAAAUGUUGUGGGGAGUUCCCGUCGUGGCUCAGUGGUUAACGAAUCCCACUAGGAAUGAUGAUGAUGUGGGUUCGAUCCCUGGCCUCUCUCAGUGGGUUAAGGAUCUGGCAUUGCCAUGAGCUGUGGUGUAGGUCGCAGACGCAGCUCGGAUCUGCUGGGGCUGUGGUGUAGGCUGGCAGCUACAGCUCCGAUUAGACCCCCAGCCUGGGAACCUCCAUAUGUCACAGGUGCAGCUCUAAAAANACCCAAAAAAAAAAAAA